This is a long non-coding RNA of Apodemus sylvaticus (European woodmouse), 2107 nucleotides long. RefSeq lists it as uncharacterized. The record is from RefSeq and is a predicted model, not a curated record. The transcript is spliced from 7 exons. NCBI's taxonomy places the organism in Eukaryota, Metazoa, Chordata, Mammalia, Rodentia, Muridae.
AAGUUCCGGCUGCUUUAAAGUUGCGGUUCCGGUGUUCAGAAUGCCAAGGAUGAUGGGAAGCCUGAACUUGUUUAUAGGUUUGCGAUGCAUAAUGAUGAGAAAUAAAAGCAAAAAGAUCUCCAAAAAGAAGCCAUGGUAAGAUUCAAGGUUUCACAGUCCAAGCUAAUGCCUGAGGACACGUGAAUAAGUGAUCUGAGAAAAUUGGAUUCCUGGCAAAACAAGACUCAGGUAAGAGUGGAGCACAGAGGAUGACUAGAUUAAAUGGGAAGAGUGCCCAGAUGUCCCAGUGCCCCCAUCGAUGUCCGAGAACUUCAUCUAGACAGUGAUGAGCUACACAUGUGCACCCAGAAGAGGACCAUGCAGAGUACCUUCCAGCACCAUGAACACUAAUCAGUCCGUCAGUAAUGGUGAACUUCUAGUUGGGCUCCAGCUCAAUUUUCUCAUGUUCGAUGAUGACCAAGCUCAGAAGCUCACAGCUGCCGGCAAGCACUCUACUACCGAAUGGCACCGUCUCUCCAGCCCAUGCUUACUCUUGAAUAACCACAAAAAUAGUCAAUGUGUGGGCCCUGAAAGGAACUGUUUACCUACCCUGCCCCCUGGCCACUUCUGCCUCUACCUCUGUUUACUGUGACUGUUCAACAAGGUUGCUCUGGCCCAGGCUGAGAAAUUGACUCCACCCUUACCCUGCCCCCUGGUAUGUUCCACAUCUGGUCCUAUGUAGUCACCAGGUAUGGGCUAUUUGGUACUGGACAACCAAUUGGAGUAUUGUUUGCUGGGGAGAACCACGUCUCUUGGUAAAAUCUAAACAUCAAGAAAAUCAACAACCCAAUUAAAAUGAUCUAGAGCACUAAACAGUUCUCAAAAGUACCACAAAUGGCUAGGAAACACAGAACUGUUCAACAUCCUUUGCCAUCAAGGAAACACGAAUUCUCACUUUUCAGUUUUCAUUCUGACUCUAGUCAGAAUGGUUAUCAUCGAGAAGAGCAGUGACGUGAAUGUGGAGUUCCUUGUCUAUGUCUCGGGAAAUAUUGCGGGAGUCAGGGACUAAGAGAUGGAAGAUAGGAAGGGCUGCAAAAUUCUAUCCUUGGGACUCUAGCCAUUACAAUGAUGAACUCUCAAAAACUUCAUUUACCUGAACUUAGCCUGAUCAAAACUAGGCCCUGUAAACUGUCAGUCACAGAAGGAGGAGUUCAUGGGCCUUUCCCCAUAAUGGCUAUUGACAGAGUUUGGAGAGAGGAGCAGUCAUUGUCUUCAGUUGUGUACCCACUGGUGGGCUAUCAGGCUCCAACAAAUAGGUUAAUUAGUUUCAUACCCAUGGUCACACAGGUGGCCCUGGUUGUACUCAGUAGAUCAGAAAACAGAUACGAUGUGAGAAAGAUUUGUGGGGAAGAAGUGGGGUUUGCAGGGCUGAUUUGGGAGAUGGGACAGUGUGGGAGGUUAGUGUAGUCAGUUUGUGAGAUGUACAUGCUGUCAAAGCACAACUUUGCUUGCUAAUAAAGAAUUACAUAAACAGAAUCAAGCCAUUGAACGUAUUUCUAAGUAGCUUUUCAUGUUGUGAAUGUACUAUAGUUUUAAAAGUCUCUCAGCUAUUGAAGCAGUCUGUGGUUUCUGCUUCAGAGCUCUUAGGAACAGAGUUGUCUUGAACAUUUGCUUACAGGCUUUUGUGUGGACAUAAGCUGCUUUAAAAAAAAUCUCUGUAAUAAAUGCCUAGGGGUUCAAUGGCAAUGUUAUAUCAGUAUGUAUUUAGCUUACUUUUAAAAUAAGAAAUUGUCAAAUACUUUUGCAGAGCUACUGGACCAUUUUACACCCCUGUCAACAAUGUAAGAGUGAUCCAGCUCCCCACCUUCUCAUCAACAUUUGUUAUUGUUGCUUUAAGAAAACAAGUUAGCCAUUCUAUUUAUUGAGAAUUUAUUUACCAUACAGUGCAUUGCUUAGAUAUGUAGUAUUCAGUUUUUAGUACACAUACAAGAUUAUACACAUAUCAGUUACCCCUAAUUCCAGAACAUUUCCAUUACUAUAGAAAAAGAAACCCAAUAUUCAUUUUUAUCUCUCCUCUAUGGACUUACCUAGUCUAGAUAUACGAAAUAAAUGGAAUUUUUAUAAUACA